CCUACGGGUGGCAGCAGUGAGGCAUAUUGGUCAAUGGCCGGAAGGCUGAACCAGCCAUGCCGCGUGAAGGUCAGUGCCCUAUGGGCGUUAAACUUCUUUUGUGCGGGAGCAAUAAUGGUCACGUGUGGCCAGACGAGAGUACCGUACGAAUAAGCAUCGGCUAACUCCGUGCCAGCAGCCGCGGUAAUACGGGGGAUGCAAGCGUUAUCCGGAUUUAUUGGGUUUAAAGGGUGCGUAGGCGGGGAGGUACGUCAGCGGUGAAAUGCCCCCGCUCAACGGGGUGAAGUGCCAUUGAUACUGCCGUGCUGGAGUGCGGUAGACGUGGGAGGAAUGUGUGGUGUAGCGGUGAAAUGCAUAGAUAUCA
Molecule: ribosomal RNA, 364 nt
Filed under: uncultured bacterium
Lineage: Bacteria
Description: partial 16S ribosomal RNA
Rfam family: Bacterial small subunit ribosomal RNA
Source: RNAcentral